UGCAGUCGAGCGAGCUGAAUUCAAAGAUCCCUUCGGGGUGAUUUGUUGGACGCUAGCGGCGGAUGGGUGAGUAACACGUGGGCAAUCUGCCCUAAAGACUGGGAUACCACUUGGAAACAGGUGCUAAUACCGGAUAACAACAUGAAUCGCAUGAUUCAAGUUUGAAAGGCGGCGCAAGCUGUCACUUUAGGAUGAGCCCGCGGCGCAUUAGCUAGUUGGUGGGGUAAAGGCCUACCAAGGCAAUGAUGCGUAGCCGAGUUGAGAGACUGAUCGGCCACAUUGGGACUGAGACACGGCCCAAACUCCUACGGGAGGCAGCAGUAGGGAAUCUUCCACAAUGGACGCAAGUCUGAUGGAGCAACGCCGCGUGAGUGAAGAAGGUUUUCGGAUCGUAAAGCUCUGUUGUUGGUGAAGAAGGAUAGAGGCAGUAACUGGUCUUUAUUUGACGGUAAUCAACCAGAAAGUCACGGCUAACUACGUGCCAGCAGCCGCGGUAAUACGUAGGUGGCAAGCGUUGUCCGGAUUUAUUGGGCGUAAAGCGAGCGCACGCGGAAUGAUAAGUCUGAUGUGAAAGCCCACGGCUCACCCGUGGAACUGCAUCGGAAACUGUCAUUCUUGAGUGCAGAAGAGGAGA
This 634-nucleotide ribosomal RNA is filed under the name Lactobacillus delbrueckii. RNAcentral describes it as "bacterial SSU rRNA". It matches the Rfam family "Bacterial small subunit ribosomal RNA", at positions 56 to 660 of the family's 1533-position model. Lineage: Bacteria; Bacillati; Bacillota; Bacilli; Lactobacillales; Lactobacillaceae. The record is from RNAcentral.